This 1287-nucleotide ribosomal RNA is filed under the name metagenome. RNAcentral describes it as "bacterial SSU rRNA". It matches the Rfam family "Bacterial small subunit ribosomal RNA", at positions 242 to 1520 of the family's 1533-position model. The record is from RNAcentral.
UAGCUAGUUGGUGAGGUAAAGGCUUACCAAGGCGACGAUCUGUAGCGGGUCUGAGAGGAUGAUCCGCCACACUGGAACUGAGACACGGUCCAGACUCCUACGGGAGGCAGCAGUGGGGAAUUUUGGACAAUGGGGGCAACCCUGAUCCAGCCAUGCCGCGUGAGUGAAGAAGGCCUUCGGGUUGUAAAGCUCUUUCGGCCGGGAAGAAAUCGCAUGGGCCAAUACCCUGUGUGGAUGACGGUACCGGAAUAAGAAGCACCGGCUAACUACGUGCCAGCAGCCGCGGUAAUACGUAGGGUGCGAGCGUUAAUCGGAAUUACUGGGCGUAAAGCGUGCGCAGGCGGUUUUGUAAGACAGGCGUGAAAUCCCCGGGCUUAACCUGGGAACUGCGUUUGUGACUGCAAGGCUAGAGUACGGCAGAGGGGGGUGGAAUUCCACGUGUAGCAGUGAAAUGCGUAGAGAUGUGGAGGAACACCAAUGGCGAAGGCAGCCCCCUGGGUCGAUACUGACGCUCAUGCACGAAAGCGUGGGUAGCAAACAGGAUUAGAUACCCUGGUAGUCCACGCCCUAAACUAUGUCAACUAGGUGUUGGGUGGGUAAAACCAUUUAGUACCGUAGCUAACGCGUGAAGUUGACCGCCUGGGGAGUACGGCCGCAAGGUUAAAACUCAAAGGAAUUGACGGGGACCCGCACAAGCGGUGGAUGAUGUGGAUUAAUUCGAUGCAACGCGAAAAACCUUACCUACCCUUGACAUGCCAGGAACUUGCCAGAGAUGGCUUGGUGCCCGAAAGGGAGCCUGGACACAGGUGCUGCAUGGCUGUCGUCAGCUCGUGUCGUGAGAUGUUGGGUUAAGUCCCGCAACGAGCGCAACCCUUGUCGUUAAUUGCCAUCAUUUAGUUGGGCACUUUAACGAGACUGCCGGUGACAAACCGGAGGAAGGUGGGGAUGACGUCAAGUCCUCAUGGCCCUUAUGGGUAGGGCUUCACACGUCAUACAAUGGUCGGUACAAAGGGUUGCCAAGCCGCGAGGCGGAGCCAAUCCCAGAAAGCCGAUCGUAGUCCGGAUUGCAGGCUGCAACUCGCCUGCAUGAAGUCGGAAUCGCUAGUAAUCGUGGAUCAGCAUGUCACGGUGAAUACGUUCCCGGGUCUUGUACACACCGCUCGUCACACCAUGGGAGCGGGUUCCGCCAGAAGUAGGUAGCCUAACCGCAAGGGGGGCGCUUACCACGGCGGGGUUCGUGACUGGGGUGAAGUCGUAACAAGGUAGCCGUAGGGGAACCUGCGGCUG